GAUAUUUCAAGUAGGCAUAAGAGAGAGAAUAUAUUGGAUUACUUCUAUAAGAAAUAUAAUGGUUCCAAUAAAUUGGUAUCCAGGUUUGACUACUUCUGUAAGAAACUUACUUCCUGUAGUGUGUAGACACUUGAAGAAACAUGUUUCAUGUAAUCUAGACACUUGAAGAAGGCAAGCAACUAAAAUAAAUUGCAUAUGAAGCUCUGCAAUUCCCAUAUUGGUCCUGACAUAUUGGAUCCUUCGCCAUGCAUCCUGGGUUCAGGGGCUCAUUCUUUCCAAGAAAUUACAAAAAUAUUCUUGCUUCAAUUGCUUGUUACUUGGCAUACAAUGUGUCAUCUCAUUCCAAAAAGUACUGUAGGACUAAUAGACAUGGUCCUGGCUAGUUGAAGUGGUUUCUGAAAAGGAAAAUCAUAAUAUUACAAAUAGCAAGCUGUUCAAAGGGAAAGAUUAGUUUAAUUUGAUGAUUUGACAGUUGCAAUACUGGAGAAACUGGGGUUUACAAAGUCAACUGGCACUAAAUAAUAAUGCAAAAUCAGGUUAUACAUCCAUUUCUUUCUGCUGUGAAAAAUAUAUGCAUUCUACAUAAUACUAAAAUAACUACAAAAUAUGCAUGUUUAAAAACAUCAAGGUUGUGGUACACUAAUCUGAUUAUCCUGAUGGAGCUCAAACUUGUAGGUAGAAAUAUGGGACUGGUGUAUACUGCAGUAACAUCUACUAAAGUCGACCAUUACUCCAAGAUCAAAAUGUGAUAAUCAUAGUAUAAGUUUGCUUCAUGGAAAAACCGAAACAUAUUUUCUUGUACUCUGCUGACAGCUAUACUUGUUCAUAAGAUAACCAACAUGUAUUCUGACAAACUGAUGAGUAUUUUUAUCUACUUUUUUGUGACCGGAACGUCCAUUGAGGCAGGCAGGCAGAGGCAUACAGGGGCUUUGUAGCGUUGGCCUGAUGCAAUGUAUAGAGGUGCCAACUGUUAGUCACCUGGGAAAGAAGAUGUGUUCAUAAAGAGCCUAGACUCGUCUUUUCCCCAACUCUGUAGCCAAUUUAGGUUGGAAAAUUCAUGAAAAAAAAUUUCAAUCAUCAUCUGCACGAGUUUCUCCAUUGCUUACAUCUGCAUGUACAUACUGACAUGGAGUAACUCUCAUGGUAGCAAGAAAUUUUAAUUUCCACUGACGUGCAAACAAAGUAUUAACACAACUGGAGCAAAGAAGAUCACAGAGAUGAAAAAAUGAUCAUCAGUAUAGAGAAAAAAUAGGAUGGGUGAAUAAAAUGUUCUAACCUUACAAAUUGAGGUGCAUUAGUAAGAAAACUAAAACUUCUUACCCUGUUGCUUGCACAAGUAGCAGGCUUUCCUAGGUUUGGAUCACUCCAAGAAAUCAAUGGGUAAAUUGCGGCAGCUGCUAUGUUCUGCUGAUUGUGCAGAAGUACGAAGUGGUUAAGACAUCGACAUAGGGAUGGAUUGCAUUGCAAAUUCGACAGCCAACAACGACGGGAGCACGGUGCUCUGUCAAGGCUAUUAGUGCAGUAGCAGGUCGCUGCGCACACCUGCUUGCUUGCUUCAUGCCCCUGUAUCGCUUCUCGGCAUAGUGAAAUAAGCUUUCUAACAAU
Molecule: long non-coding RNA, 1605 nt
Filed under: Triticum aestivum (bread wheat)
Lineage: Eukaryota; Viridiplantae; Streptophyta; Magnoliopsida; Poales; Poaceae
Description: long non-coding RNA (TAES_LNC004666)
Source: RNAcentral